Molecule: long non-coding RNA, 760 nt
Filed under: Cyanistes caeruleus (blue tit)
Lineage: Eukaryota; Metazoa; Chordata; Aves; Passeriformes; Paridae
Description: lncRNA (ENSCCEG00000013711.1)
Source: RNAcentral
UUGCUGCACUUAGUAUAGGUGCAGUCUUCCACUGGAUGGGAGAUGAUUUUCUGUUAAAGGUUCAUGGUUCUGUUUCAAAAUCUGUAGGUCCCAGGUUGAUUUACUGAGGCGAAACUGAGUCAAAUUAUAGGACGCAACUUUGCAAACAUGUUUUGAUUGCUUGGAGCUACAGAGCUCAUUUUGGAUAGUGUGCUAGUGUGUAAAGGGAAGGUGUUUCUCAAAUGUGCUUUUGUAAGUAUGUUUCCCACUGCUGACUAGUUAAGUUAGAAGUCAGUGAACUGAAUUAUCAUAGAGUAGAUUUUGGCCAUUAAUUGUGGUGGAAUGCAGAGUAAAUGAAGGCUUAGGUUUAUAGCCUGCCCAGAACUAGAGGGUGUAUCUUUAAAUUCUGUAACAUCUCUGGUCUCUCACUGGCUGACAGUAUGUCUUGUUAUCCGCUUCUAGAGUACGGCUCCCUUGCGUAAGGCCUUAAGCAUAUGUGUUGAUCAGCCGCAAGUUAACAAUUUUGAAUUAAACUGAAUGGUGUUGCUGCAGGGAGCCUCUGGGAGUCCAAGGGUGGAGAGAUCUGCCUUCAUCUGAAGAUCUCUGCUAAAGGUAAAGACCUCCUAACUGGCCAGACAGCUUUAGCAGGGGUUCAGAAGUCUUACACCAAAGUAAAGUGACUCAUUUUUCAAGCAAAUUGAAUUGUCUGGUACAGUUCUCAAAAUAAGGAUUCUUCUUUUUGCGAAAUAAACACUCAAAUGCAUCUUUGAGCUUUCUCCUU